Molecule: ribosomal RNA, 475 nt
Filed under: uncultured bacterium
Lineage: Bacteria
Description: SSU rRNA
Rfam family: Bacterial small subunit ribosomal RNA
Source: RNAcentral
AGAAUCAACGCUGGCGGCGUGCCUAACACAUGCAAGUCGAACGAGAAAGUGGAGCAAUCCAUGAGUAAAGUGGCGACCGGGUGAGUAACACGUGACUAACCUACCCUAGAGUGGGGAAUAACUUCGGGAAACCGAGGCUAAUACCGCAUAACAUCGUAGAGGGAAGCUCUUUGCGAUCAAAGGAGCAAUUCGCUCAAGGAGGGGGUCGCGGCUGAUUAGUUAGUUGGUGAGGUAACGGCUCACCAAGACAAAGAUCAGUAUCCGGCCUGAGAGGGCGCACGGACACACUGGAACUGAAACACGGUCCAGACUCCUACGGGAGGCAGCAGUGGGGAAUUUUGCGCAAUGGGGGAAACCCUGACGCAGCAACGCCGCGUGGAGGAUGAAGUCCCUUGGGAUGUAAACUCCUUUCGAUCGGGACGAUUAUGACGGUACCGGAAGAAGAAGCACCGGCUAACUCUGCGCCAGCAGCCGC